GACGAACGCUGGCGGCGUGCUUAACACAUGCAAGUCGAACGGAAAGGCCCUGCUUUUGUGGGGUGCUCGAGUGGCGAACGGGUGAGUAACACGUGAGUAACCUGCCCUUGACUUUGGGAUAACUUCAGGAAACUGGGGCUAAUACCGGAUAGGAGCUGCUGCUGCAUGGUGGGGGUUGGAAAGUUUCGGCGGUUGGGGAUGGACGCGCGGCUUAUCAGCUUGUUGGUGGGGUAGUGGCUUACCAAGGCUUUGACGGGUAGCCGGCCUGAGAGGGUGACCGGCCACAUUGGGACUGAGAUACGGCCCAGACUCCUACGGGAGGCAGCAGUGGGGAAGAUUGCACAAUGGGCGGAAGCCUGAUGCAGCAACGCCGCGUGCGGGAUGACGGCCUUCGGGUUGUAAACCGCUUUCGCCUGUGACGAAGCGUGAGUGACGGUAAUGGGUAAAGAAGCACCGGCUAACUACGUG
This 468-nucleotide ribosomal RNA is filed under the name uncultured bacterium. RNAcentral's name for it is "partial 16S ribosomal RNA". It matches the Rfam family "Bacterial small subunit ribosomal RNA", at positions 28 to 507 of the family's 1533-position model. The record is from RNAcentral.